ACAGCAGCCGCCGCGGUAAUACGUAGGUGGCAAGCGUUGUCCGGAAUUAUUGGGCGUAAAGGGCUCGCAGGCGGUUUCUUAAGUCUGAUGUGAAAGCCCCCGGCUCAACCGGGGAGGGUCAUUGGAAACUGGGAAACUUGAGUGCAGAAGAGGAGAGUGGAAUUCCACGUGUAGCGGUGAAAUGCGUAGAGAUGUGGAGGAACACCAGUGGCGAAGGCGACUCUCUGGUCUGUAACUGACGCUGAGGAGCGAAAGCGUGGGGAGCGAACAGGAUUAGAUACCCCUGUAGUCCCUGUCUCUUAUAC
RNAcentral lists this ribosomal RNA (305 nucleotides) under uncultured bacterium. Its description in RNAcentral is "partial 16S ribosomal RNA". It matches the Rfam family "Bacterial small subunit ribosomal RNA", at positions 508 to 807 of the family's 1533-position model. The record is from RNAcentral.